CCCAGACUCCUACGGGAGGCAGCAGUGGGGGAUAUUGGACAAUGGGGGGAACCCUGAUCCAGCGACGCCGCGUGAGUGAAGAAGUAUCUCGGUAUGUAAAGCUCUAUCAGCAGGGAAGAAAGAAAUGACGGUACCUGAGUAAGAAGCCCCGGCUAACUACGUGCCAGCAGCCGCGGUAAUACGUAGGGGGCAAGCGUUAUCCGGAAUUACUGGGUGUAAAGGGAGCGUAGGCGGGCUUGUAAGUUGAAUGUCUAAUCCACCGGCUCAACCGGUGAUCGCGUUCAAAACUGCAGGUCUUGAGUGAAGUAGAGGUAGGCGGAAUUCCCGGUGUAGCGGUGAAAUGCGUAGAGAUCGGGAGGAACACCAGUGGCGAAGGCGGCCUACUGGGCUUUAACUGACGCUGAGGCACGAAAGCGUGGGUAGCAAACAGGAUUAGAUACCCCUGUA
This 447-nucleotide ribosomal RNA is filed under the name uncultured bacterium. Its description in RNAcentral is "bacterial SSU rRNA". It matches the Rfam family "Bacterial small subunit ribosomal RNA", at positions 330 to 792 of the family's 1533-position model. The record is from RNAcentral.